CGAAAUGCGAUACGUAGUGUGAAUUGCAGAAUUCAGUGAAUCAUCGAAUCUUUGAACGCACAUUGCGCCCUUUGGUAUUCCAAAGGGCAUGCCUGUUCGAGCGUCAUUUGUACCCUCAAGCUUUGCUUGGUGUUGGGCGUUUUUGUCUUUGGCCCGCCAAAGACUCGCCUUAAAAUGAUUGGCAGCCGGCCUACUGGUUUCGCAGCGCAGCACAUUUUUGCGCUUGCAAUCAGCAAAAGAGGACGGCAAUCCAUCAAGACUCCUUCUCACGUUUGACCUCGGAUCAGGUAGGGAUACCCGCUGAACUUAAGC
This 312-nucleotide unclassified non-coding RNA is filed under the name plant metagenome. RNAcentral's name for it is "partial contains 5.8S ribosomal RNA, internal transcribed spacer 2, and large subunit ribosomal RNA". The stretch from base 1 to 106 matches the Rfam family "5.8S ribosomal RNA", at positions 49 to 154 of the family's 154-position model. The record is from RNAcentral.